UACGUAGGUGGCAAGCGUUGUCCGGAUUUAUUGGGUUUAAAGGGUGCGUAGGCGGCCCUGUAAGUCAGUGCUGAAAUAUCCCGGCUUAACCGGGAGGGUGGCAUUGAUACUGCGGGGCUAGAGUACAGAUGAGGUAGGCGGAAUUGACGGUGUAGCGGUGAAAUGCUUAGAUAUCGUCAAGAACACCUAUAGCGGAGGCAGCUUACUAGGCUGUAACUGACGCUGAGGCACGAAAGUGUGGGGAUCAAACAGG
RNAcentral lists this ribosomal RNA (253 nucleotides) under uncultured bacterium. Its description in RNAcentral is "partial 16S ribosomal RNA". It matches the Rfam family "Bacterial small subunit ribosomal RNA", at positions 524 to 776 of the family's 1533-position model. The record is from RNAcentral.